RNAcentral lists this ribosomal RNA (253 nucleotides) under uncultured bacterium. RNAcentral's name for it is "partial 16S ribosomal RNA". It matches the Rfam family "Bacterial small subunit ribosomal RNA", at positions 524 to 776 of the family's 1533-position model. The record is from RNAcentral.
UACAGGGGGGGCAAGCGUUGUUCGGAAUUACUGGGCGUAAAGGGUUCGUAGGUGGCUUACUAAGUCAAACGUGAAAUCCCUCAGCUUAACUGGGGAACUGCGUCUGAUACUGGAAAGCUUGAGUGCAGGAGAGGAACGCGGAAUUCCAGGUGUAGCGGUGAAAUGCGUAGAUAUCAGGAAGAACACCUAUGGCGAAGGCAGCUCUCUGGGACGGUACUGACGCUGAGACGCGAAAGCGUGGGGAGCGAACAGG